AAUUUUCAUACAUUUAAUUGGAUUAAUAAUAAUAUCUCUACAUUCUCUGGUCAGAAUUCAUAAACAUUACUACUUCAAAUCAUGACUACAUCAGCAUUAAGAUUAAGGAAACCAGAGCUAAUCAUGCAUAUAAAUCAAGAGAAAAAUUGAAAGUCAAAUAUCUGACCAAAACCAAGAAUAAAAGUCAAAUUAUUAAAGAAAAAAGGAAAAAUAAAAUAAAAUAUCUAGAACAGUAGAAUGUGAUUUGCGGUUGAACCAGUUUCAGGCCCAAACUAGUUUUUUUUACAUUCUCGGCCCGUUUUUGGGCCCAAACGCGAGUCCAUCUGGACCAGAUUGAAGCUUUUUGAAGUGGUC
Molecule: long non-coding RNA, 354 nt
Filed under: Fragaria vesca (wild strawberry)
Lineage: Eukaryota; Viridiplantae; Streptophyta; Magnoliopsida; Rosales; Rosaceae
Description: long non-coding RNA (FVES_LNC001274)
Source: RNAcentral